GACGCACACACACAAACACACACCUCCAUCAGACACACACACACAAACACACACCUCCAUCAGACGCACACACACAAACACACACCUCCAUCAGACACACACACACAAACACACACCUCCAUCAGACACACACACACACACAAACCUCCAUCAGACACACACACACAAACACACACCUCCAUCAGACACACACACACACAAACCUCCAUCAGACACACACACACAAACACACACCUCCAUCAGACACACACACACACACACAAACACACACCUCCAUCAGACGCACACACACAAACACACACCUCCAUCAGACACACACACACAAACACACACCUCCAUCAGACACACACACACACACAAACCUCCAUCAGACACACACACACAAACACACACCUCCAUCAGACACACACACACACGUCUCCAUCAGACACACACACACAAACACACACCUCCAUCAGACACACACACACACACACACACAAUGGACUGAGGGUCUUGGGCCCAUGCAACCAUGAACUAUGUGUGAUGAGUUCUCAUCUCACAUCUCUAUAUUCUGGGCCUCUGGUGGUCUCUAUUGGUCACUGUAUGUAAUUACAUUUCUAUUCAACCUCAGGUACGAGGCUGGAAUUGAUUCAUUCAAUAUAUUUGAAAGAAAACUGAUAUUAUUUCAAUUAAAGUCUGCAUUGAACCAUCCUAUUGCAGCUGCUGCUACUGUAUAUUAUAAACAUUUCUGGUUUUUGUUGAUCUGUUUAUGCUUGACUAACCGACAGUCAGGGGCCAAGACUCUAAAGCAAAACCUUUCUCCCCUCUAAGCCAAAGUGGAAUUAUUUUCUUACUGGUGGUGAUGGCAGAAUUCCCAGUACAGAAUUCGGGCCUCUGAGCUCCGAUACCGCUCCUGAAUCCCAUACCCGGCAAGGCAUCAUCGCUUUCCUGGUGGUCACAGUGGAGGACACCCCUUCUAGGUCAAGUCAAGUCAAGUCAGACACACACACACACACACACACACACACACACACACACACACACACACACACACACACACACACACACACACACACACACACACACACACACACACACACACACACACACACACACACACACACACAGCCUCAUAGGUUCAUACACACACACAGCCUCAUAGGUUCAUACACACACACAGCCUCAUAGGUUCACACAGUGUAAGUAAGCUACUCCCCGAGCCCAGAUAGGAUUUAGUUAUUAAAAAUGAGUAGUACUACUGUUGAGUAAAAGUUAGACAGUGUUAAUGUGACUACUGACUAAGGCUUCUCAUACUGAACUUGAAGGAUCCCUCACACAGAGGACAAAACAGAAAAGAUGUCCGAUAAAACUGCAGUUCCUCACAAUAAAAUGACAGCUCUUAAGAUUGUUAAAAUAGAAUGAAGACCAGCUCUAUAUAUGACAUUAAAACAAAAUGUUUUGAGCUGAUUGGAACUCUGGAUCCAAUUCAUUAAGACAGGCCUUUGAAGGCGUUAGAAAAGUCCCCUUUAUCAAUAUGUUCUCUGGGCUGGCUCAGUCCAGUCCAACCUGCAUUGAGUAAUAUGUGGAUUCAAGCUUCAGGUAGAUAGCUGUGAGGAAAGGCUCUCUUUUCUUUCUCUGACUCCCCAGUAAACAUGAACCCAUUGGCCCCAUGUGGGUAUUCGGUGGGCAAGGUGGGCUAGCCCACACCAACCCCACACCAACCCAACACAGGCUAGCCCACACCAACCCCACACCAACCCAACACAGGCUAGCCCACACCAACCCCACACCAACCCAACACAGGCUAGCCCACACCAACCCCACACCAACCCAACACAGGCUAGCCCACACCAACCCCACACAGGCUAGCCCACACCAACCCCACACCAAUCCAACACAGGCUAGCCCACACCACACCAACCCCACACCAACCCAACACAGGCUAGCCCACACCAACCCCACACAGGCUAGCACACACCAACCCCAAACCAAUCCAACACAGGCUAGCCCACACCAACCCCACACCAACCCAACACAGGCUAGCCCACACCAACCCCACACCAACCCCACACCAACCCCACACAGGCUAGCACACACCAACCCCAAACCAAUCCAACACAGGCUAGCCCACACCAACCCCACACCAACCCAACACAGGCUAGCCCACACCAACCCCACACAGGCUAGCCCACACCAACCCCAAACCAAUCCAACACAGGCUAGCCCACACCAACCCAACACAGGCUAGCCCACACCAACCCAACACAGGCUAGCCCACACCAACCCAACACAGGCUAGCCCACACCAACACAACACUGGCCAGGCCACACCAACACAGGCUUGCCCACACCAACCCAACACAGGCUUGCCCACACCAUCCCAACACAGGGUAGCCCACACCAACACAACACGGCAAGGUCACACCAACCCAACACAGGGUAGCCCACACCAACCCAACACAGGGUAGCCCACACCAACACAACACGGGCAAGGUCACACCAACACAACACGGGCAAGGUCACACCAACACAACACGGGCAAGGUCACACCAACACAACACGGGCAAGGUCACACCAAGCCCAGCUAGAGGCGGGGGCUCAUUAGAAUAUUUGGGGGCGUGGUUUACACACAGUUGUUUUUGUGCAGCCGUUACUGAGAGUGUGGUUCCUGUUGAAGUGUGGUUCCUGUUGAAGUGUGGUUCCUGUUGAAGUGUGGUUCCUGUUGAAGUGUUCUGUGUUGUGCUGCCUAUAUCCUGAUGAUCUUGUAAACGGCUAAUGAUCAAGUCUUUAGAAACACUUAUAUAAAUGUUUCUCUUGUUAAAUAUAUUCUGUAUGUAUGAUGGUAAUAACUUGGUUGUCUUUCUGAAAAAAUUGUAUCACGUUCCAUAAAUACCUGUAAGAGUAGAAAAUUAUGCAAUUUAUGCAUUGAAUUAAGUUUAAAUAAAUAAAUAUUAAAUAGCGAAGGCGCAUCAGCCCAAUGUGGGCAGCUUACAAGGGGUCAAUAUUUUAGCCUGCAUUGGGUUCAAAUCGUGACAAUUUGGACAUGUUUGCUGGGAAAAGAAGGGUGUAUUUCAGACAAAGUGACAGCUGCCUCACCAGAUCUGGGCUGCCCACACUGAGCCACACUGGGCAAAUGCCUUGGGGGCCAAUGUGGAGCCGAUGAGCAAAGGCGCAUCGGCCCAAUGUGGGCAGCCUAGAUGGGGCCAAUAUUUUAGCCCGAAUUGGGCCCACAUCGAGACAAUGUGGACAUGUUUGCUGGGGCUAAAACCUACAAUCUCUAGUUCCUUGUAAUUUUAUCGCUCUCUCCACGGUGCCGUGAGAAAACAAUAUAGUCCAAAUCUCCCAAUCUCCUUAAUGUUGUUCUAAUCUAAUGGAUCAUACACACACCUAAUGUCUCACAUUGGGCAUAUUAAGCAGAUUGCCUGCGUUAAACUACUGCUGUCAGAGCAGCAUGACAGACAUUACCAGCACUUAAGGCACAUUGUUUGUGUGUGUGAAUGUGUGUGUGUGUGUGUGUGUGUGUGUGUGUGUGUGUGUGUGUGUGUGUGUGUGUGUGUGUGUGUGUGUGUGUGUGUGUGUGUGUGUGUGUGUGUGUAUGUAUGUAUGUAUGUAUGUAUGUGUUUGUCUGCAUGUAUGUGUGUGUGUUUGUAGGUGUGUAUGUGUGUUCGAACAUCCCAAAUCUAAUUUUGCCCAUUCAUACGAGUCUGUAAUCAUGCCCGAACGUUUGGUCCAUUUAAAAUGUAAAAAAUGGCUGAAUAAAGUAAUCAUAUCAUGCUGCUGCUCUACAACUGUGCUGUCACCUCUACCGUGAUCAUUAGAGACAGGACCUGAGAGACAAUGACAACAUCAAUGCUUGGCUAACAACUAUUACUGUAAUAAAUAUGUGUAUGGAUCUGAAAGGCCUUGGUAGAACAAUGGAUGUCUUUAAUACCAUACAAACCCCAUAAACACAAUAUCUGCUUUACAUGCCACUGUUCUUAAGGCCGACACACACACACACACACACACACACACACACACACACACACACACACACACACACACACACACACACACACACACACACACACACACACACACACACACGUCACUUGUGGAUGAUGUGUGCAUUGUUAUUGUAUUGCUACAUAUUGCUGCGUUGUUGGAGAUAGAAACAUAACCAUUUCGCUGCACCUGCGAUAACAUCUGCUAAACUGUGUACGCCACCAAUAAACUUUGAUUUGAUCUGAAACACACACUCAAUCUCUCGCUCUCUCGCACACACACACACUCAUACACCCACCAACCCUCCACAAUGCCUCAUUAAAGAAGCCUCUUCAUGGGUUCAGUACCAGUUCCCUCAGGCUCCUAUCCUGACAGGUGUCUCCCACAGUAGUCCUGUAGGCCCUGUCUAACCCUGUACCAGCGGAGAUGCACAAAGUCCUCAUUGUGUGUCCCCACAAGCCCCCCCUAUCAUUCCUAACACCCCCCCCGUAAAAGCAUCCCGGGCAUCCUUCUUUAACCGGGGGAGAUUAUGCAAAUUAGCUCUCAUACCACCACAGUGACAGAAGCCCACUUAUAAGAGAUUCAUUCAGAGGAGUCUAUAGAUCACAGUUCAUAUAGUCUGUCUAUAGAUCACAGUUAAUAUAGUCUGUCUAUAGAUCACAGUUAAUAUAGUCUGUCUAUAGAUCACAGUUCAUAUAGUCUGUCUAUAGAUCACAGUUCAUAUAGUCUGUCUAUAGAUCACAGUUAAUAUAGUCUGUCUAUAGAUCACAGUUAUUAUAGUCUGUCUAUAGAUCACAGAUCAUAUAGUCUGUCUAUAGAUCACAGUUAAUAUAGUCUGUAGACCACAGUUAAUAUAGUCUGUCUAUAGAUCACAGUUAAUAUAGUCUGUCUGUAGACCACAGUUAAUAUAGUCUGUCUAUAGACCACAGUUAAUAUAGUCUGUCUAUAGACCACAGUUAAUAUAGUCUGUCUAUAGACCACAGUUAAUAUAGUCUGUCUAUAGUAGGGAUUGGGAUGUAUGAUACUGUUGUAUAGACCACAGUUAAUAUGAUGGGUGGGAAGAAGCGAGAGAAGAGAGUGAUGAUAGAAUAAGGAGGCUCUGGGAUAGGUUGGGGGUCAGAUAGGGACAGAGGUUAUAACAGAGUUAAACUUUUCCCUUCAUGAUAAACAGCAGAAAACAGAUUUAAGAGAGAAAUGCAUGCCAGUAAAGACCAUCUGCUUUAUUUACCACGUCCUUUUCUCCCAAUCUCUUUUCCCUCUCCUACACUCCCAAAUUCCCCCUUACCCAUCUCUCAAAUCUCUCUUAUCUACACUGUACAUAUUUGUCAAAUCCUAAAUAACAAAAUCUAUUCACAUUGUAUGAGGGCUGACACAGGACAAAUAUGUUUUUUCGAUAUGAGAAAGAUAACAUAAACUGAAGUCCAACGGUGAACUAUUUUAGUGUAAAGGCACCUCUAUCUGCAGAGCAAAACAACCUUCUUUUGUCUUCAGUUGGGUUUGAGAGCUUCUUUUUUUGUUCCCCGAAAAUCUCAUGGAACACGUGCCAACAUUUUUAAGAGCUACGAAAUAACUGGGCUAUUUUUUUUUUUUCACGUCUUCUUCCACCACCUCGCAGGUGUUUCGUUUUAAGGCGUGCUGCACAAUGCCAAGCUCUGCUCGCCUUGGCUCGUCUUGAAUGCAGAGGGCCCACGGGGGAAAACUUGGGUUGCAGGAGAGAAAUCGUAUUGAUUAGCAAUGAACUACGCUUCCCUUUCUCUUUUCUUUAUGUCUCUCUCUCACACACUCUCUCUGCUCCACUUUUAAAGUGUCGAUGGGGGGAAGAGAAAAAAAAAACCUUUGUAUGCCAAGCCAAAAAAAAUUGGGGAAGAGAAAACUAAACCUUAAACUGAAAACGUACACCUUCUGGUCUUUAGAGAAAGUGAGUGUGCUUGAAGUGGUACAGAACAAAGGCGUUGCUUUAAGUGAGACUUGGCGUUUGAAAUGAAUAAGUGUGACAGGGUGUGUGUUUGCUUCCUUACUUGUGCGCGUGUGUAUGUGCAUAUGUGUGUGUACAACAGCAGUAUACGUGGCAGCAGAAUCUCUGUACCUUUGUCCGGACCAGCUUGCUUUAGGCCAAAGCGUCAGUCUAACAUGAACAACUCUCUUAUGUCACCCCUUCAUGCCUUUAGGCCAAACACUGGCUCUAUAGGCUUACCUAUUAAACAAUGUUAUGAGAUACAUUUCCAUAAUGAUUUUUCUGCUUCAAAAAUAGCCGCCGGUAUGAGCAAAUAUUCAACAUGCUAUCUCGUUCUGAAACUUGACAUGUUUUGUGAGAAACUGUUUAGUAUUCUGGAUAAGUCAGUGCUUUAGAUACAUUGGAACACACACUUGUGUGAAAAAGAACACGGACAAAUACACAUACACACGCUGCUGCUACUACCACUAUCUUAAACCAUACAAUCACAGCCAGAAGUUUGUUCAUCUAUGUCAAAACACAACACAGUGCAGUGUUUUAUACUGCCGCCAUGUGGUUUCCUUAAGAAACUACCGGGGAGUCAUUUUUAAUCGACCGAGGCUGCGGAUCCGUAGGUCACCACCUCGUUGUACCCCCCUGGAAAGAUUCAUAUCAUGUUCUGCGCAUGUGUUUUCUUUACCUCUACUUUACGCACACUUCAAAUGAUUCAUCUAUUAUUAUUAUUACAUUUUUCAUUGUCAAUCGUGAAUGAUAAUUCUUCAACUUUUCCCGGUGAAACGCUCAUACAGCAUUUUCAUGCCAACCAUAGGAACUCAAUCAGUUUCAUGGGAAUAUGCAUUUAGAUAUUUUUAGUUAUGUACAGUGAGCUGAAUUUAGAACAGAUGGUGUUAAACUGUAACACAGCCUAACUGGGUUUUGUUCAACUCAAACCCCAUAUUUUGCCUAGUGGUGCGCGCUGUUGAGUUGUGGCUAGAUGAGAGGAAAAUGCAUUUGUUUGUUCUGUCCCACAAUCAUCCUAAAAUCUCAUAAGACAUUAGGUGCUGUUUUUUAUUUUACAGCGACAAACUAUGCUAUUAUUCGGUUAUAUUAUGUACAAUACUAUCGUUAUGUGAUCCUGCAGAUAUUGAUUCAGCUUUGAUCUAACUUUAUUAAACGAGUACCAUUCGCCAGAGUAGCCUGUUCUCUACUAUUGGAAGAUAGAGACUUUGCAAAUAGAGAAUCCCGAAUGUGCAGAAUCUUCGGGACCUUUAACGGUUGGUAAUAUUCAUAGAAUACUGGUAGUCACUGAGAAUGAGUCACUGAGGAUAUGUCCAAAUAGCACACUAUUCCCUAUGGGCUCUGGUCAAAAGUAGUGCACUACAUAGGGAUCCAUUUGGGAUGCACAUAAAAGGGCGUGGGUUCUGGUUGAGGAGAGAUCUCAUCUAACCACAGUACAGAGGAUUGAAGUAUGAUGCAUUGAGCAUGAUAGGGUCAUAAACAAACACACACACACUCAUUAACAAACACACACAUGUGUCUAGACUAUAUAUGUCAAAAAAAAUAGUAAAAUAUAUAUUUUCUAAGAGAGAGGAGGGAGAGGGAGGAGGGAGAGAAGAUGGACAGGUGGUCAGCCAGUCAGGAUCAGUCAUACACCUGCUAGAUGUAGAUGAAAGGAUGAGAAGAGGGGGGAGAUGUAUGAGAUGGAGAGGGGGGAGAUGUAUGAGAUGGAGAGGGGGAUGAAAAGAAGGAGUAGGGAAAGAGGGACCAUCUGGUUUUUUUUUCAGAGGGACGAAAAAAAAGGGAGAUAGAGCUGGAGAGAGAAGUGGUGAGUGCCAGAAUAUGGCAGAGGAGAAGAGAGGAGAGAUGCAGGAGAUGAGAGGUAUGGAGAGGAGAUUGAUUUGAUUUGAUUAUGAUGCACAAUAGCUGACGCCAUGAUGACAGCUAGUCUUCCUGGAGGGUUCGACACAUAACGAAAAACACAUUACAGACAAAAAGAGGAGGAGCAACACCGGAGGAAAGGAGAGACACCGGAGGAAAGGGGAGACACCGGAGGAAAGGGGAGACACUGGAGGAAAGGAGAGACACCGGAGGAAAGGGGAGACACUGGAGGAAAGGAGAGACACCGGAGGAAAGGAGAGACACCGGAGGAAAGGGGAGACACUGGAGGAAAGGAGAGACACUGGAGGAAAGGGGAGACACCGGAGGAAAGGAGAGACAUUGGAGGAAAGGGGAGACACUGGAGGAAAGGAGAGACACCGGAGGAAAGGGGAGACACUGGAGGAAAGGGGAGACACCGGAGGAAAGGAGAGACAUUGGAGGAAAGGGGAGACACCGGAGGAGAGGAGAGACACAGGAGGAGAGACACCGGAGGAGAAAGGAGACACAGGAGGAGAGACACCAGAGGAGAGGAGAUACACAGGAGGAGAGGAUACACACAGGAGGAGACACACCGGAAGAGAGGAGAGACACCGGAGGAGAGGAGACACAGGAGGAGAGGAGACACAGGAGGAGAGGAGAGGAGAGACACAGGAGGAGAGGAGAGGCAGAAGGAGAUGGUGACAGGAUCCUGGAGGCGAUUCGUCUGGCCUGGCGAAAUCAGUGCUCCACCAGGAUUAUAACUCCCUCUUUCCCUUCCUUCCUCCCUCUCUCUCUGCCUCUCUCUUUCCGUUCCUCCCUCCCUCUCUCACUCUCUAAGCCUCUCUCUCUCUCUCUGCCUCUCUCUCACUGCCUCUCUCACUUUCCCCUCCUCCCUCUCUCUCUCUCACUCUCUCUGCCUCUCUCUUUCUCUCUCCCUCACUCAAACCCUGCCGGGUUCCAGAUCACCAAACUACUCCACUCAACCACUCCAUUCGAUUUCAAUCAAUGACGCAUUUUACAAUGUCGUAAAAGUGUGUGUGUGUGUGCCAUCACAUAAAAGCCCACUUCAAACGAGCUAAAACUGUGUGGAGUGCGUGAGAGUGUCUGGAGUCAGAUUACUACACCUACCGUAUCCACCAUGUUUGGCGGGUCCUCACAACCCUUCCCACUGUUGGCUUCUGGGCUUGGGACAUGUCUGAACCAUGGAUAGAGGAAGACAUUGGAAUGGAUUGGCUGAGAAAUGCAGGAAAAUGGAGCUGCGGGUAGACGGAUGUCCCAAAAGGCACCUUAUUCCCUACUUUUGAGGUGCACUUUAAAGGGAAUAGGGUGCCAUUUGGAACACAGACCUAAACUCAUCAAAGGUUUUCUCACAGACGUCAUGAUGGAUUUUCUGGAGGUCUGGACGAGUGAAAGUGCCCCGAUGCCAACUAACAAAUAGACAAAUCCAACUCUCACACACACAAAUACUGACACACAUACAUACAGAAAGACACACUCGCAUGUACAGAUACACACACGCGCUCACACACACGCGCUCACACACACGCGCUCACACACACACACACCUGUCAGCUAGAAUCAGGCUUGGUUAGAUGAAACCAAAAGGGUUUCAUAUGCUUCUAUAAUUUCGAUCACCUUAGUCAGCCAGAUCAACGUCUCCGUCUUGGCCUUGUUCAGUCGUUCCCACUCUGUCCUUCACUUUGUUCUGUGAGAGAUUUGGAGGAAUGAAUCUGGAUGGUGAAACCUUUUGAUGCAUCAUGAGAAAUAGAGUAGGAUAAAUGUUGGAAUGGAACUAGAGUGGUGCUGUAUGUUCCGACUGGAAUGUUGUGGUUCUACACGUUUCUAUGCUUGAUUGGAUACUUGCUAGUGUUACGGAAAAUAAGGUGAAAUUGACAUGUGGCUGAACUAGUCCUUCAUGAUGUAUGUUGGUAUGUGUCACGCAUAUUCUAAAUGAAGGAAUACAGUCUCACUGUUUCUUAUCUGAGCGCCACAGACGGAUGCAGGGGAUCAGUUGAAGUGACUUUUUCUGUAGUCUCUUCUCCCCACCUGAUGCGUCUGACACACAAUCCAUUAACACUUGAGUUUGGCAAAGUGAGACUACUUUCUCUCUGCACUUACUUACAACAGUUAACUCCACACUCUGAGCAGAAGGAGAUCGCCCCUGGAUCCCCUGAGUCUGCCACUCACUGACCCAGCUGGAGGCUUUCACAGUAUCCCCGACUCACCCACACUACACACGCAUCCAAAACGACAGGACUCUUUUAUCCCUGCCCCCUUUGCUCCUGUGCCAACAAGCGCUCGCCUCCUCUGUCCUAAAAACAUGUGUGACAUGUCACAACCCAGAACCACUACCCAGCUCCCUCGGCAAAAAAAAAAACGGAAAAGAAAACCAGAACAAAACAACGAUCUUAUCCCGCCUCGUUAGAACCUGGCAAUCAUCCCUCUCUCCUUUUCUCUCCCUCUCUCCUUCCUGUCGUCGUUAGACAAUAAGUUGAGUGGAGAUUCUCUUAAGUGCUUCUGAAGUAGACCGUUUAGGAGCUUUUAGACGUCAUGUUCUUUUUAAGCGAUGGUUGUGGUAACUGGCAGGGGAGGGUGGAGAGAGCUGUGCCUGUUUUUCUGCCCAUGAGGAGAAAUGGUGAGUGGUGAGUGUAUUUGCAUGUGUGUCUGUGUGUAUCUAAUGUGUGUGUGCGUGUGCGUGUGUGACAGGAACCCGAUGGAUGGAUGAUGGCAUG
Molecule: long non-coding RNA, 10487 nt
Filed under: Salmo salar (Atlantic salmon)
Lineage: Eukaryota; Metazoa; Chordata; Actinopteri; Salmoniformes; Salmonidae
Description: lncRNA (ENSSSAG00000085358.1, ENSSSAG00000114483.1)
Source: RNAcentral